This 253-nucleotide ribosomal RNA is filed under the name uncultured bacterium. Its description in RNAcentral is "partial 16S ribosomal RNA". It matches the Rfam family "Bacterial small subunit ribosomal RNA", at positions 524 to 776 of the family's 1533-position model. The record is from RNAcentral.
GACGAACCGCCCGAACGUUAUUCGGAAUCACUGGGCUUAAAGGGAGCGUAGGCGGGCUGCCAAGUCCGGGGUGAAAUCCUCCAGCUUAACUGGAGAACUGCCUCGGAUACUGGAAGUCUCGAGGAGGGUAGGGGCAAGUGGAACCGUGGGUGGAGCGGUGAAAUGCGUUGAUAUCCAUGGGAACUCCGGUGGCGAAGGCGACUUGCUGGACCCUUUCUGACGCUGAGGCUCGAAAGCCAGGGGAGCGAACGGG